UACGUAGGGUGCAAGCGUUAAUCGGAAUUACUGGGCGUAAAGCGUGCGCAGGCGGUUGUGCAAAACAGAUGUGAAAUCCCCGGGCUCAACCUGGGAACUGCAUUUGUGACUGCACAGCUUGAGUGCGGCAGAGGGGGAUGGAAUUCCGCGUGUAGCAGUGAAAUGCGUAGAUAUGCGGAGGAACACCGAUGGCGAAGGCAAUCCCCUGGACCUGUACUGACGCUCAUGCACGAAAGCGUGGGGAGCAAACAGG
Molecule: ribosomal RNA, 253 nt
Filed under: uncultured bacterium
Lineage: Bacteria
Description: partial 16S ribosomal RNA
Rfam family: Bacterial small subunit ribosomal RNA
Source: RNAcentral